Molecule: long non-coding RNA, 326 nt
Filed under: Callithrix jacchus (white-tufted-ear marmoset)
Lineage: Eukaryota; Metazoa; Chordata; Mammalia; Primates; Cebidae
Description: lncRNA (ENSCJAG00000076424.1)
Source: RNAcentral
CCACCGUUGGAAUCAUUUACUCCAAGAUGUGAAAAUCUGCAUUUUUGCGUUUGCAUCCAAAACUCACCUGUGAUACUGCCGCUUCAGAAUUUCCAGACCUUGAGUGGUCCCUCAUCUCAUUGUUGAAAACACUGAGAGGCACAGCAAAGGGAAAGGACUGGUUCAUGACACCAAAUUGAUGAGGAAACUGAAGUUUAGAGGGGAAAGCUUUCCUAAACACCUAGGUAAGUGGCAGAGCUAAGAAUUAUUUCAUUCAUGCCUGCUUCAGGGCACUACCUCACAAAUGCUGGGAUCCACUACAUUUGCUUCUUGGUUAAAUAGUGACU